UGGGGAAUUUUGGACAAUGGGGGAAACCCUGAUCCAGCCAUCCCGCGUGUGCGAUGAAGGCCUUCGGGUUGUAAAGCACUUUUGGCAGGAAAGAAACGUCGCGGGUUAAUACCCCGCGAAACUGACGGUACCUGCAGAAUAAGCACCGGCUAACUACGUGCCAGCAGCCGCGGUAAUACGUAGGGUGCAAGCGUUAAUCGGAAUUACUGGGCGUAAAGCGUGCGCAGGCGGUUCGGAAAGAAAGAUGUGAAAUCCCAGAGCUUAACUUUGGAACUGCAUUUUUAACUACCGGGCUAGAGUGUGUCAGAGGGAGGUGGAAUUCCGCGUGUAGCAGUGAAAUGCGUAGAUAUGCGGAGGAACACCGAUGGCGAAGGCAGCCUCCUGGGAUAACACUGACGCUCAUGCACGAAAGCGUGGGGAGCAAACAGGAUUAGAUACCCUGGUAGUCCACGCCCUAAACGAUGUCAACUAGCUGUUGGGGCCUUCGGGCCUUGGUAGCGCAGCUAACGCGUGAAGUUGACCGCCUGGGGAGUACGGCCGCAAGGUUAAAACUUAAAGGAAUUGACGGGGUCAUAGCUGUUUCCU
Molecule: ribosomal RNA, 585 nt
Filed under: uncultured bacterium
Lineage: Bacteria
Description: partial 16S ribosomal RNA
Rfam family: Bacterial small subunit ribosomal RNA
Source: RNAcentral